GCCGAGGUGGCGGAAUUGGUAGACGCGUAAGGCUCAGAUCCUUAUGGAUUUUAUAUCCUUGCCGGUUCGAAUCCGGCCCUCGGCA
RNAcentral lists this transfer RNA (85 nucleotides) under Candidatus Parcubacteria bacterium. RNAcentral's name for it is "tRNA-Leu". It matches the Rfam family "tRNA". Rfam says of the family: Transfer RNA (tRNA) molecules are approximately 80 nucleotides in length. The record is from RNAcentral. Lineage: Bacteria; Candidatus Parcubacteria.